RNAcentral lists this ribosomal RNA (847 nucleotides) under uncultured Actinomycetes bacterium. RNAcentral's name for it is "bacterial SSU rRNA". It matches the Rfam family "Bacterial small subunit ribosomal RNA", at positions 1 to 849 of the family's 1533-position model. The record is from RNAcentral. Lineage: Bacteria; Bacillati; Actinomycetota; Actinomycetes.
CCGCGGGAUUAGAGUUUGAUCCUGGCUCAGGACGAACGCUGGCGGCGUGCUUAACACAUGCAAGUCGAACGAUGAAGACUGGUGCUUGCACUGGUUGGAUUAGUGGCGAACGGGUGAGUAAUACGUGAGUAACCUGCCUUUGACUCUGGGAUAAGCCUGGGAAACUGGGUCUAAUACCGGAUAUGACAAGGAACCGCAUGGUUUUUUGUGGAAAGGGUUUGUACUGGUUUUAGAUGGGCUCACGGCCUAUCAGCUUGUUGGUGGGGUAAUGGCUCACCAAGGCGACGACGGGUAGCCGGCCUGAGAGGGUGACCGGCCACACUGGGACUGAGACACGGCCCAGACUCCUACGGGAGGCAGCAGUGGGGAAUAUUGCACAAUGGGCGCAAGCCUGAUGCAGCGACGCCGCGUGAGGGAUGACGGCCUUCGGGUUGUAAACCUCUUUCAGCAGGGAAGAAGCGAAAGUGACGGUACCUGCAGAAGAAGCGCCGGCUAACUACGUGCCAGCAGCCGCGGUAAUACGUAGGGCGCGAGCGUUGUCCGGAAUUAUUGGGCGUAAAGAGCUUGUAGGCGGUUUGUUGCGUCUGCUGUGAAAGACCGGGGCUUAACCCCGGUAUUGCAGUGGGUACGGGCAGACUAGAGUGCAGUAGGGGAGACUGGAAUUCCUGGUGUAGCGGUGAAAUGCGCAGAUAUCAGGAGGAACACCGAUGGCGAAGGCAGGUCUCUGGGCUGUAACUGACGCUGAGAAGCGAAAGCAUGGGGAGCGAACAGGAUUAGAUACCCUGGUAGUCCAUGCCGUANACGUUGGGCACUAGGUGUGGGGGACAUUCCACGUUUUCCGCGCCGU